UAGAGUUUGAUCCUGGCUCAGGACGAACGCUGGCGGCGUGCCUAAUACAUGCAAGUCGAACGAACUCUGGUAUUGACUGGUGCUUGCAUCAUGAUUUACAUUUGUGUGAGUGGCGAACUGGUGAGUAACACGUGGGAAACCUGCCCAGAAGCGGGGGAUAACACCUGGAAACAGAUGCUAAUACCGCAUAACAACUUGGACCGCAUGGUCCGAGCUUGAAAGAUGGCUUCGGCUAUCACUUUUGGAUGGUCCCGCGGCGUAUUAGCUAGAUGGUGGGGUAACGGCUCACCAUGGCAAUGAUACGUAGCCGACCUGAGAGGGUAAUCGGCCACAUUGGGACUGAGACACGGCCCAAACUCCUACGGGAGGCAGCAGUAGGGAAUCUUCCACAAUGGACGAAAGUCUGAUGGAGCAACGCCGCGUGAGUGAAGAAGGGUUUCGGCUCGUAAAACUCUGUUGUUAAAGAAGAACAUAUCUGAGAGUAACUGUUCAGGUAUUGACGGUAUUUAACCAGAAAGCCACGGCUAACUACGUGCCAGCAGCCGCGGUAAUACGUAGGUGGCAAGCGUUGUCCGGAUUUAUUGGGCGUAAAGCGAGCGCAGGCGGUUUUUUAAGUCUGAUGUGAAAGCCUUCGGCUCAACCGAAGAAGUGCAUCGGAAACUGGGAAACUUGAGUGCAGAAGAGGACAGUGGAACUCCAUGUGUAGCGGUGAAAUGCGUAGAUAUAUGGAAGAACACCAGUGGCGAAGGCGGCUGUCUGGUCUGUAACUGACGCUGAGGCUCGAAAGUAUGGGUAGCAAACAGGAUUAGAUACCCUGGUAGUCCAUACCGUAAACGAUGAAUGCUAAGUGUUGGAGGGUUUCCGCCCUUCAGUGCUGCAGCUAACGCAUUAAGCAUUCCGC
RNAcentral lists this ribosomal RNA (901 nucleotides) under uncultured bacterium. RNAcentral's name for it is "bacterial SSU rRNA". It matches the Rfam family "Bacterial small subunit ribosomal RNA", at positions 1 to 872 of the family's 1533-position model. The record is from RNAcentral.